Molecule: long non-coding RNA, 393 nt
Organism: Brassica rapa (field mustard)
Lineage: Eukaryota; Viridiplantae; Streptophyta; Magnoliopsida; Brassicales; Brassicaceae
Source: RefSeq, a predicted model, not a curated record
UCAUUUACCAUAAAAAGAGUUUAGCAUACAUUAAUACAAAUAUAGAAUAUGGUAGAAAUUAAAAAAAAAACACUACAGAUUAUGGGCUUCAUUAUAUAACGAAUUUACCAAAAAUUCAAUAUUUUUGUAGUGGUUAGCCCAUAGAUUUUGAGAAAAUUUCAAAAAUAUGACAAUAUUGUUUUAAUGCCUAGUUGCAUCCUGCACUAACAUAUGAUUAUGUUCAAAGAGGUUUGGAGCCUUUGUCGUCUCCGUUUAUCAAGAAAAUAAUAAUUUUAUAGCGGUUAUUCCAUCGAUUUAGGGAGUGUUAUGAAGUUUUAUAAAAUUAAUUGAUAAAAACAAUUGAAUGAUGCUCAUUUACCAUGAAAAAGAGUUUAGCAUACAUUAAUAAAAAUG